RNAcentral lists this ribosomal RNA (490 nucleotides) under uncultured bacterium. RNAcentral describes it as "partial 16S ribosomal RNA". It matches the Rfam family "Bacterial small subunit ribosomal RNA", at positions 30 to 507 of the family's 1533-position model. The record is from RNAcentral.
AUUGAACGCUGGCGGCAGGCCUAACACAUGCAAGUCGAACGGUAACAGGAAGCAGCUUGCUGCUUUGCUGACGAGUGGCGGACGUGUGAGUAAUGUCUGGGAAACUGCCCGAUGUAGGGGGUUACCUACUGGAAACGGUAGCUAAUACCGCAUAACGUCGCAAGACCAAAGAGGGGGACCUUAGGGCCUCUUGCCAUCGGAUGUUCCCCGAUGGGCUUAGCUAGUAGGUGGGGUAACGGCUCACCUAGGCGACGAUCCCUAGCUGGUCUGAGAGGAUGACCAGCCACACUGGAACUGAGACACGGUCCAGACUCCUACGGGAGGCAGCAGUGGGGAAUAUUGCACAAUGGGCGCAAGCCUGAUGCAGCCAGGCCGCGUGUAUGAAGAAGGCCUUCGGGUUGUAAAGUACUUUCAGCGGGGAGGAAGGGAGUAAAGUUAAUACCUGUGCUCAUUGACGGUACCCGCAGAAGAAGCACCGGCUAACUCCGUG